Molecule: non-coding RNA, 878 nt
Organism: Ciona intestinalis (vase tunicate)
Lineage: Eukaryota; Metazoa; Chordata; Ascidiacea; Phlebobranchia; Cionidae
Source: RefSeq, a predicted model, not a curated record
ACUUUCGUUGCCCCGCCAUGCGAGGAUAAAUAAGUGUCAACUCACCGGUGUCACUUUUGGUAUACACUUCCACUUUUUCCCCAACGCUGAGCGACAUGACGUUCUGACGUCGAUCGUCUACGUCAGUCACGUGAUCUUCCACAGCUACGCAAACCUCAGGUUCGAUUGGUGACGUAAUAUUUAGGGUGGAGCGAGACGACCAUCCCGUCGACGCUAAUGACAUCUGAUAAGCUGAUGAUGAUAUACGUUUCAAUGCCGAAUGACGUUUCAUGACGUCAUCUUCACUCGUUGAAGAAUCCUCGCUACUGAUUGGUUCAUCUUCGAUCACGUGGUUUUGCGUCCCACUGUCGUCACUGAGUGUAGCGUUUGUGACGUAGAACAUCUAACAUCCUCAGUCUUCGCAUUGUGCCGUUACAAGUUAUUACGUUGUGUUUCGACGACUUUCGAUGCAGUUUGUUAAGGAAGUAUUUUGCUUCUUCCGAUUCAGAAUUUACUUUGAGAGUCUGAAAAAAAGGUCGGUAAUACAUGAAUAUAUAUGGGGUAUUUUACCCACAUUUUAAAAGCGGUAGUUUACAUAUUGUAGGUUAGGGUAAGAGUGUCCGUGUUUUCAAUCUUUUUAAUUGGUAGUAAUUAAAGAAUAUUUACAAAAUGACAUACCCAUACCCUGACUAGUCUUAAAACAACGUUGUUAAUUGUUUUAAACACGACCAGGAAAAUAUGGGAUAUUAUGUGAUAACGUUAUCCAUUUUACAGUACUAUACGUUUGGAUGCGUUAUGACACAAUUUGGUAUAAUGCGUUUAGUCCUAUAUACAGUAGGAUGGGGGAAGAUGGGACACUUUUUAACUCUAUUUUCUCGUCCCAUUUAGUAUUAAACAAA